UACGUAGGUGGCAAGCGUUGUCCGGAUUUACUGGGCGUAAAGAGCGCGCAGGCGGUCGUUCAAGUCGCGUGUGAAAGCCCCCGGCUCAACUGGGGAGGGUCACGCGAUACUGAUCGACUCGAAGGCAGGAGAGGGUAGUGGAAUUCCCGGUGUAGUGGUGAAAUGCGUAGAUAUCGGGAGGAACACCAGUGGCGAAGGCGACUACCUGGCCUGUUAUUGACGCUGAGGCGCGAAAGCUAGGGGAGCAAACGGG
This 253-nucleotide ribosomal RNA is filed under the name uncultured bacterium. Its description in RNAcentral is "partial 16S ribosomal RNA". It matches the Rfam family "Bacterial small subunit ribosomal RNA", at positions 524 to 776 of the family's 1533-position model. The record is from RNAcentral.